RNAcentral lists this ribosomal RNA (465 nucleotides) under uncultured bacterium. RNAcentral describes it as "partial 16S ribosomal RNA". It matches the Rfam family "Bacterial small subunit ribosomal RNA", at positions 28 to 507 of the family's 1533-position model. The record is from RNAcentral.
GACGAACGCUGGCGGCGUGCUUAACACAUGCAAGUCGAACGGAAAGGCCCCCUUGUGGGGUACUCGAGUGGCGAACGGGUGGGUAACACGUGAGUAACCUACCCUUGCCUUUGGGAUAACUUCAGGAAACGGGGGCUAAUCCCGGAUAGGAGCUCCUGCUGCAUGGUGUGGGUUGGAAGGUUUCGGCGGUUUGGGAUGGACUUGCGGCUUAUCAGCUUGUUGGUGGGGUAGUGGCUCACCAAGGCUUUGACGGGUAGCCGGCCUGAGAGGGGGCCCGGGCACAUUGGGACUGCGAGACGGCCCAGACUCCUACGGGAGGCAGCAGUGGGGAAUAUUGCACAAUGGGCGGAAGCCUGAUGCAGCAACGCCGGGUGCGGGAUGACGGCCUUCGGGUUGUAAACCGCUUUCGCCUGUGACGAAGCGUUAGUGACGGUAAUGGGUAAAGAAGCACCGGCUAACUACGUG